Molecule: ribosomal RNA, 468 nt
Filed under: uncultured bacterium
Lineage: Bacteria
Description: partial 16S ribosomal RNA
Rfam family: Bacterial small subunit ribosomal RNA
Source: RNAcentral
GACGAACGCUGGCGGCGUGCUUAACACAUGCAAGUCGAACGGAAAGGCCCUGCUUUUGUGGGGUGCUCGAGUGGCGAACGGGUGAGUAACACGUGAGUAACCUGCCCUUGACUUUGGGAUAACUUCGGGAAACUGGGGCUAAUACCGGAUAGGAGCUCCCGCUGCAUGGUGGGGGUUGGAAAGUUUCGGCGGUUGGGGAUGGACUCGCGGCUUAUCAGCUUGUUGGUGGGGUAGUGGCUUACCAAGGCUUUGACGGGUAGCCGGCCUGAGAGGGUGACCGGCCACAUUGGGACUGAGAUACGGCCCAGACUCCUACGGGAGGCAGCAGUGGGGAAUAUUGCACAAUGGGCGGAAGCCUGAUGCAGCAACGCCGCGUGCGGGAUGACGGCCUUCGGGUUGUAAACCGCUUUCGCCUGUGACGAAGCGUGAGUGACGGUAAUGGGUAAAGAAGCACCGGCUAACUACGUG